Molecule: long non-coding RNA, 327 nt
Organism: Daphnia pulicaria
Lineage: Eukaryota; Metazoa; Arthropoda; Branchiopoda; Diplostraca; Daphniidae
Exons: 3
Source: RefSeq, a predicted model, not a curated record
AUCGUGAAUUCGUGACUGUAGUGACUGCUUAUGACGGAAUUGACUCGAAGUUCGUACUCGUACCUUCCUUUGGUUGAGAAAAAGCUUGAAAUACCUUGACUUCGCUCGAGUACCAGUUGGCAAUGGGCUGUGCUACCUGGGUUGCUCGAGUAUUGAAGACUUCAAAUUUUUCUUCAGUUUCUCAGUCAUUACAUUCAGUGAGUGAAAAAAUGAGUAAUACUCCAGAACACAGUUCAAGGAAAGAUAACAGAGGAAAUCGGAGGAAAUUAUUUUUUGGGGAAGAAGGAACAGCAGCAGAAAGUCACUCUUCUAAUGAACAAAGGGCAG